AUCCAGUCAGCCAUGGAUCAAUUGGAAGCAUUCUCUCCUCCGAGUUCGAAGGUUAUGGGUUUAAGUCCUUCGGGACUUUGAGCUCAAAAAUCGAAGUUGACUCUCCAGUGCUGGACUGUUGAAAGUGCCAUUUUUUGAAAGAGGUAUUCAAUGGAGGCUCUGCCUGCUCCAUCUCAGCUUUCAGAAAUACAAAUCUGCUGUGAUAUUAAUCUUGGUGAAUUGAUGUUGGAAGAGGGUGUGCUGAGGUAUGGGAGCUGGGGAGAGAGUCCAGUCUUUACUGAAAGGACAUGUUUCAAAAGCAGCAAAUAAAUUGACCAGAAACUGAACUGGUCCAGCCAUAUAAUUACUGUGACUA
Carcharodon carcharias (great white shark) is the source of this 355-nucleotide long non-coding RNA. RefSeq lists it as uncharacterized. The transcript has 3 exons. The record is from RefSeq and is a predicted model, not a curated record. Lineage: Eukaryota; Metazoa; Chordata; Chondrichthyes; Lamniformes; Lamnidae.